This 1264-nucleotide ribosomal RNA is filed under the name Escherichia coli. RNAcentral describes it as "partial 23S ribosomal RNA". It matches the Rfam family "Bacterial large subunit ribosomal RNA", at positions 890 to 2136 of the family's 2925-position model. Lineage: Bacteria; Pseudomonadati; Pseudomonadota; Gammaproteobacteria; Enterobacterales; Enterobacteriaceae. The record is from RNAcentral.
UCAUCUCCGGGGGUAGAGCACUGUUUCGGCAAGGGGGUCAUCCCGACUUACCAACCCGAUGCAAACUGCGAAUACCGGAGAAUGUUAUCACGGGAGACACACGGCGGGUGCUAACGUCCGUCGUGAAGAGGGAAACAACCCAGACCGCCAGCUAAGGUCCCAAAGUCAUGGUUAAGUGGGAAACGAUGUGGGAAGGCCCAGACAGCCAGGAUGUUGGCUUAGAAGCAGCCAUCAUUUAAAGAAAGCGUAAUAGCUCACUGGUCGAGUCGGCCUGCGCGGAAGAUGUAACGGGGCUAAACCAUGCACCGAAGCUGCGGCAGCGACGCUUAUGCGUUGUUGGGUAGGGGAGCGUUCUGUAAGCCUGUGAAGGUGUGCUGUGAGGCAUGCUGGAGGUAUCAGAAGUGCGAAUGCUGACAUAAGUAACGAUAAAGCGGGUGAAAAGCCCGCUCGCCGGAAGACCAAGGGUUCCUGUCCAACGUUAAUCGGGGCAGGGUGAGUCGACCCCUAAGGCGAGGCCGAAAGGCGUAGUCGAUGGGAAACAGGUUAAUAUUCCUGUACUUGGUGUUACUGCGAAGGGGGGACGGAGAAGGCUAUGUUGGCCGGGCGACGGUUGUCCCGGUUUAAGCGUGUAGGCUGGUUUUCCAGGCAAAUCCGGAAAAUCAAGGCUGAGGCGUGAUGACGAGGCACUACGGUGCUGAAGCAACAAAUGCCCUGCUUCCAGGAAAAGCCUCUAAGCAUCAGGUAACAUCAAAUCGUACCCCAAACCGACACAGGUGGUCAGGUAGAGAAUACCAAGGCGCUUGAGAGAACUCGGGUGAAGGAACUAGGCAAAAUGGUGCCGUAACUUCGGGAGAAGGCACGCUGAUAUGUAGGUGAGGUCCCUCGCGGAUGGAGCUGAAAUCAGUCGAAGAUACCAGCUGGCUGCAACUGUUUAUUAAAAACACAGCACUGUGCAAACACGAAAGUGGACGUAUACGGUGUGACGCCUGCCCGGUGCCGGAAGGUUAAUUGAUGGGGUUAGCGCAAGCGAAGCUCUUGAUCGAAGCCCCGGUAAACGGCGGCCGUAACUAUAACGGUCCUAAGGUAGCGAAAUUCCUUGUCGGGUAAGUUCCGACCUGCACGAAUGGCGUAAUGAUGGCCAGGCUGUCUCCACCCGAGACUCAGUGAAAUUGAACUCGCUGUGAAGAUGCAGUGUACCCGCGGCAAGACGGAAAGACCCCGUGAACCUUUACUAUAGCUUGACACUGAACAUUGAGCCUUGAUG